AGGGUAUAGCUCAGUGGUAGAGCACAUGCCUAGCAAGCACGAGGUCCGGGGUUCGAUCCCCAGUACCUCUA
Molecule: transfer RNA, 71 nt
Filed under: Camelus bactrianus (Bactrian camel)
Lineage: Eukaryota; Metazoa; Chordata; Mammalia; Artiodactyla; Camelidae
Also listed under: 1 other name
Rfam family: tRNA
About the family: Transfer RNA (tRNA) molecules are approximately 80 nucleotides in length. Their secondary structure includes four short double-helical elements and three loops (D, anti-codon, and T loops). Further hydrogen bonds mediate the characteristic L-shaped molecular structure. tRNAs have two regions of fundamental functional importance: the anti-codon, which is responsible for specific mRNA codon recognition, and the 3' end, to which the tRNAs corresponding amino acid is attached (by aminoacyl-tRNA synthetases). tRNAs cope with the degeneracy of the genetic code in two manners: having more than one tRNA (with a specific anti-codon) for a particular amino acid; and 'wobble' base-pairing, i.e. permitting non-standard base-pairing at the 3rd anti-codon position.
Source: Rfam by way of RNAcentral